This 327-nucleotide ribosomal RNA is filed under the name uncultured eukaryote. RNAcentral describes it as "partial 18S ribosomal RNA". It matches the Rfam family "Eukaryotic small subunit ribosomal RNA", at positions 1470 to 1796 of the family's 1831-position model. The record is from RNAcentral.
CCCUUAGAUGUUCUGGGCCGCACACGCGGUACACUGAAGGAGGCAGCGUGUACUCCUGGAUCGAAAGAUUUGGGUAACCCGCGAAUCUCCUUCGUGCUAGGGAUUGAGGUUUGCAAUUAUCCUUCAUGAACGAGGAAUUCCCAGUAAGUGCAAGUCAUAAGCUUGCGCUGACUACGUCCCUGCCCUUUGUACACACCGCCCGUCGCUACUACCGAUUGAAUGAUUUAGUGAGGACUUCGGACUGGGACCGAUGCGGCUUUCGGGCUGCGUCGGUAUUCUGGAAAGAUGUCCAAACUGUAUCAUUUAGAGGAAGUAAAAGUCGUAACA